This 424-nucleotide ribosomal RNA is filed under the name uncultured bacterium. RNAcentral describes it as "bacterial SSU rRNA". It matches the Rfam family "Bacterial small subunit ribosomal RNA", at positions 355 to 796 of the family's 1533-position model. The record is from RNAcentral.
UAACGAAUCUUCCGCAAUGCACGAAAGUGUGACGGAGCGACGCCGCGUGUGGGAUGAAGUCCUUCGGGAUGUAAACCACUGUCAGGGGUUAGAAAGUUCUGAUCAACCCCAGAGGAAGAGGCGGCUAACUCUGUGCCAGCAGCCGCGGUAAUACAGAGGCCUCGAGCGUUAGGCGGAAUCACUGGGCUUAAAGCGUGUGUAGGCGGAUCGUUAAGUGCCUUGUGAAAUCCCACGGCUUAACCGUGGAACUGCUUGGCAUACUGGCGGUCUUGAGCCACUUAGGGGCGACCGGAACAAACGGUGGAGCGGUGAAAUGCGUAGAUAUCGUUUGGAACGCCAAAGGUGAAAACAGGUCGCUAGGAGUGUGCUGACGCUGAGACACGAAAGCCAGGGGAGCAAACGGGAUUAGAUACCCCCGUAGUCC